This 28-nucleotide small RNA is filed under the name Bombyx mori (domestic silkworm). RNAcentral's name for it is "ovarian small RNA-31981". Lineage: Eukaryota; Metazoa; Arthropoda; Insecta; Lepidoptera; Bombycidae. The record is from RNAcentral.
UGACUGCUUCACGCGCCCGGGCCAUCAC